CCUACGGGAGGCAGCAGUGAGGAAUAUUGGUCAAUGGCCGUAAGGCUGAACCAGCCAAGUCGCGUGAAGGAAGAAGGAUCUAUGGUUUGUAAACUUCUUUUAUAGGGGAAUAAAGGUAUCCACGUGUGGAUAUUUGCAUGUACCCUAUGAAUAAGCAUCGGCUAACUCCGUGCCAGCAGCCGCGGUAAUACGGAGGAUGCGAGCGUUAUCCGGAUUUAUUGGGUUUAAAGGGUGCGUAGGUUGUUUUUUAAGUCAGCGGGGAAAGUUUGUGGCUCAACCAUAAAAUUGCCGUUGAAACUGGAAGACUUGAGUGUGUUUGAGGUAGGCGGAAUGCGUGGUGUAGCGGUGAAAUGCAUGGAUAUCACGCAGAACUCCGAUUGCGAAGGCAGCUUACUAAGCCAUAACUGACACUGAAGCACGAAAGCGUGGGGAUCAAACAGGAUUAGAUACCCGAGUAGUC
Molecule: ribosomal RNA, 460 nt
Filed under: uncultured bacterium
Lineage: Bacteria
Description: partial 16S ribosomal RNA
Rfam family: Bacterial small subunit ribosomal RNA
Source: RNAcentral